AGCGGCUAUUCAGAAGGCAACGCGAAAACCGUCUGCUGCUGUGGCAUAGUUUUGCAAUUGCAAAUGAACGUUUCGAAUUUGGGAGGGAAGGCAAGGGAAAGCGUGGCCGUCUACCAGAGUAAAAAUGGGAGGCCAAAUGGCGAGCAACCUCUCGAGCUUAGUACACGAACUUCGAGAACGCAUAGCGGCAACCUCUUCCACUCCACCCAGCAAAGUCGAUGAUGAUGCAUUAGAGAUCAGAUUUCGCGCCGUGCUUCCUAAUCUCCUUCACGCCUACGUCGUCCCCUCUUCGUCUGCUAGUGAGAGAGAGGUUAUUGCUGUUUUGAAGCUAAUUUCUCACACUGCGAGGAAUUUUCCCGGUGUCUUUUAUCAUGGGAAGGCCAGUGCUGUACUGCCGGUGAUUGGUAGGAUUUUGCCAUUCUUUGCAGAACCUGCAUUUCGCUCACGACAUGGAGUUAUUUUUGAAACGGUUGGAUCUCUAUUAUCCUUGCUUCGUACUGGCGCGCGAGAUGCAUACUGUCAAUUUUUCAUUGAUGCCAUGUCAGUUGUUGAAGAUCUUUUGUAUGUGGCAUCACUUUCUGCUGAAAAGACAAGCAUUUCAGGUUCUGCUGGAUUAACUUUGAAAUGUUUCUGCAAGUCCUUUACUGGAUUUUCUGGAGAUCCUACUUGUCUUUGUGAUCUUCCUGCAAGUAGUAAACCAAUGGAUGGUGCUGGCAUCUUGAUCAACAUUAUGGACAAAAGGAGGUGGCAACCUUUUGCAACUUGGAUAAUUAGGCUUCUUAACAAAUGCGUUACUGAAGGAACUCUAUAUGUGGAGGGGCUCAUCAAUAAAUCAAGUGUUUUGGCUUCCUGUUCUCUCUUAUGCUACGGAGAUGCUGACUUGCAUAUGGCAUGUUUUGAUUUUGCACGCAUCAUUGGAUCAGUGAUAGAUAGUGACAUCAUUCCUCACCAGAAUAUAAUUGAGUCAAUAGCCACAAUUUUAAGCGAGGACAAAGAAGGGCUUCCUAUAUUCAGAAACAUGAUGUAUGAUUCCUCCAUUGGUGGUUGCCUUACUGCAUUGCAUUCUAGUUGUCCUGAUGAUGUCGUAAAAUUAACAGCUGCACAUCUAAUGAAUGUUCUUCCUUUGUCAAUGUACAGAACCAAAAGCCAGGAGCUUAAGGAGGCUUUGUGCAUUGCUUACAAACGGAUUGCUAGAACUUGCCCCCCUUAUAUUUGGAAGCCAGAGUGUCUGAUACGUAUGCUUUGUUUUCAAGAACCCUACUCUUCCUUGAUUGAUUGCCUUCAUGUAACUCUCUUAAUCCUUGGUCCUGAGCGGGUUGGAGGGAGGGUGAUAACUAAUGGUAAUGUGUGUUUACCAGCAUCAUCUGAAGUAUCAAUUGAGAAGUUGAGGGUUGGAGAAAAGAGGCAUGUUCAGGAUAUAGAUAAUAUCAAGUUCAAACGCCAAAAGGUAGAUGGAGAUAUUAUGGCUUUUGCUGCUAAUGUUUCGGCGGAGAGUAAGCCUACUCAUAUAGUUAGCUUUGAAAAAGAAGACGAAGAAUAUGCAGAUUAUAUGCAUACAUCUCUUCUUUCAUUUCUUGAACUUCUGAAACCUCCUUCUGUGAGACUUGAAUCUUUAAGGCCUCAUGUAGCAUUGACAGCUCUUAGCAUGCUUUGUAUUGCUUUCUGUAGAUACCAAAUGACCAGUAUCUCACUCUCCAUCAUCCAGCAAAUGUGUUCAUGGAUCCCAUGGAUAUGUGAGCAGGCAAAUCUUGGAGCUUCAAUCACACUAAACAUUUCCAUCUAUUUGGAAGGAAUUCGCAGCAUAUUGCUCAUGCAAAGAAAUUUGCUAUUGGAGGACAAGCUUUUAAAACUUAAGGGCGAUGAUGUGAAUCUUAUGCACAUGUUACUAAAGCUUCCAUGGACUCAUUCUCAUAUGGUUGCUGGACCACAUCCUCCAUGGAAAGCAAAAUGUACUUCUGUCAAGGUUGUGCCUAUGUUAGGCAAUAGUUUGAAAACAGAAAGUGUUCUGGAAGUCCUAGAUUUGGGUCUUCAUGAUGAUGCUGAAGAUGUGAGACUUGAAGCUGUCAUUUCUAUGCCAAUGAUUGUCUUGUGGUCUGGUCUUGGAGUACUUGCACAAAUGUUCGAAAGGCUAGAGUUCUUGGAAAGAGAGGAGCAUGAGAGAAUUAAGAAAAUCAUUCCCUUUGCUCUUGGUAUUUUGUCAUGCUUAUAUGGAUGUUGCAGUAGUAUUGAUGGUCUAGAUAGGGGUGAAUGCAAGUUAUUUUUGGAUUUCAAUAAUGAGAAACACAGUCAGACAGAUUACUUGCUGCAAGGAUUCUGGUGCUUACGGUGUGACAGAAGCAUUGUGCCAAAUCAUGAGGUAUACUCUAAAAUAAUGCAACUGCCUGUUACGCAAAGUAGAGAAGUUGGUUUGAAUUGUGAUUUCUUUCAUCUCCAAUCCUUCUUCUUUAAACUUCUUUAUGAUGAUUCCUUGGAAGAGGUUCAAGUUGGCUGUGCAAGAAUUAUUCAACGUGUUCUUGUACAUGGUACUACGGAUAUUCUAAUUAAGACAAGAUUUGAAUGGAUUAGAUGUGUUGAAUUUUUACUAGUCAAUGCAAAGAAGGCUGUAAGGGAAGCAUUUUGCACCCAGAUAAGUUCGUUCCUGGAUGAUUCUGUAUUAAGUUGUUUAUUUUCAGAUGGGGAUUUGUCAAGUAAAACUAAAGAACAGAAAUUUUUAGAUAUAAUGAAACAUGCUUUGGAGGCAGCUAAGGAUCCACAAAUCUUUGAGACUCUUUUGGAAUCUACUGCACAAAUUAUGAUUGCAGUUGAUAUCUCCAGUCAACUUUUCUUGUAUUCUCUUAUCUUGUUGGUUGAUCAACUUGAUAAUCCAUACGUGACUGUAAGAAUGAGUGCAUCAAGGCUAAUACACAAAUCUUGCUUUUUCCAUCUCAAAGGGGGAUUUGAGCUAAUCCUUUCAAAAGUUGUUCAUAUCCGAAAUGAACUCUUUGAUUAUCUAACUAUGAGUCUCGCAAGUCGUCCACAAAUGGUCAGAGAGUUUGCAGAAGCUGUAUUUGGCAUUGAGACUAAAGAGCUUGUUGAAAAAAUGAUUCCCACAGUUCUUCCAAAGCUUGUUGUGUCUCGGCAGGAUAAUGAGAAAGCAGUUAAUGCAUUAUUGGAGUUAGCCAAGUGUGUGAACACUGAUAUGGUGCCAUUGAUUGUUAAUUGGCUACCUAAAGUGCUCGCUUUUGCCCUUCAUCGGUCAGAUAGACAGGAGUUAUUCUCUACCUUGCAGUUUUACCAUGAUCAGACUGGUUCUGAUAACCAAGAAAUAUUUGCAGCAGCACUACCUGCACUUUUAGAUGAACUUGUAUGCUUUCUAGAUGGUGCUGAUUCAAUGGAGAUAAACCAAAGGUUAUCACAAGUUCCUGAGAUGAUAAAAGAAAUUGCCAGAGUUCUGACAGGUGCAGAAGAUCUUCCAUGCUUUUUGAGGAAUCAUUUUGUUGGUUUGCUUAACAGUAUUGAUAGAAAAAUGCUUCAUUCAGAGGAUUUUUCGCUACAGAAACAAGCUUUACAACGUAUUAAGAUGCUGAUUGAAAUGAUGGGCGUUCAACUUAAUACUUAUGUCCCAAAACUAAUGGUUAUUCUCAUGCAUGCCAUUGAUAAAGAAUCUCUGCAAAGUGAGGGUCUCUCUGUCUUGCAUUUUUUCAUUAUGCAAUUGGCAAACAAAUCACCAUCUAGCACUAAACAUGUAAUAUCUCAAGUUUUUGCUGCACUUAUUCCCAUCUUGGAAAGAUAUAAAGAAAACUCUUCUAUGCAUUUAAACAAAGUUGUGAAAAUUUUGGAAGAACUUGUAUUAAAUAACAGAAUUAUCUUGAAGCAGCAUAUUCAUGAGUUCCCUCCAUUACCUAGUAUUCCUGCACUAGUAGAAGUAAACAAAGUUAUCCAGGAAGCACGUGGCUCAAUGACUCUGAGGGAUCAAUUGCGAGAUGUUAUUGAUGGUUUGAACCAUGAGAACCUGAAUGUGAGGUAUAUGGUAGCAUGUGAGUUGAGCAAGUUACUCAACUUGAGAAGGGAAGAUAUUACAGCUUUGAUCACCGGCGAAGUUGCUGCGGAUAUGGAUGUUUUGAGCUUUUUGAUCACGUCCCUGCUAAGAGGAUGUGCAGAAGAAUCAAGGACUGUGGUGGGACAGCGGCUGAAGUUGGUUUGUGCUGAUAGUCUUGGAGCCUUGGGUGCAGUUGACCCUGCCAAGGUGAAGGGUUUUUCAUGUCAACGCUUUAAAAUUGAAUGUUCAGAUGAUGACCUUAUCUUUGAGUUGAUCCAUAAACAUUUAGCUAGGGCUUUUAGAGCGUCACCUGAUACCGUUGUUCAAGACUCAGCUGCAUUGGCAAUACAGGAACUGCUAAAGAUUGCAGGCUGUGAGGCAUCUUUAGAUGAGAAUGUUACUGCUUCUUCACAAUCACUGAAGGAGAAGAGUACUGAAAAUAGUAGUGGGAUGAAUAAUAGGGGUCAAAGAUUGUGGGACCGGUUCUCUAACUAUGUCAAAGAGAUAAUAGCUCCUUGCUUAACUUCUAGAUUUCAGCUUCCAAAUGUAGCUGAUUCGGCAUCAGCUGGCCCAAUUUACCGCCCUUCUAUGUCAUUCAGGAGAUGGAUUUUUUUUUGGAUUAAAAAACUGACUGCACAUGCAACUGGAUCUCGUGCGAGCAUAUUUAAUGCUUGUCGAGGUAUAGUGCGUCAUGAUAUGCAAAUAGCAAUUUAUUUGCUGCCUUAUUUAGUUUUAAAUGCUGUUUGUCAUGGUACAGAGGAGGCACGCCUUGGGAUAGCUGAAGAAAUCCUAUCUGUUCUUGAUGCUGCUGCCUCAGAGAAUAGUGGCGCUACAGUUCAUGUUAUCACUGGUGGCCAAAGUGAAGUUUGCAUUCAAGCUGUGUUCACACUCCUUGAUAAUCUUGGCCAAUGGGUGGAUGAUGUUGAGCAAGAAUUGGCUCUUUUCCAAUCUUUCCAGUCAUCAGGUUCUAAAAAGCAAGCAUCUAGAUCCAAAGAUCAAAGUUCAACUUCUUUGACUGAUCAGGAUCAACUGCUUACACAAUGUAAAUAUGUUUCGGAGCUUUUGACUGCAAUUCCAAAGCUAACCCUUGCUAGGGCCUCCCAUAGGUGUCAAGCUUAUGCAAGGUCUUUGAUGUACUUUGAGUCUCAUGUUCGUGAAAAGUCUGGCUCCUUUAACCCUGCAGCUGAGAGAAGUGGCAUUUUUGAGGAUGAAGAUGUUUCCUAUCUGAUGGAAAUAUACAGCUGUCUAGAUGAACCUGAUGGUCUAUCUGGCUUGGCAUGUUUACGUAAAUCAUUAAGCUUACAGGACCAGCUCUUAAUAAACAAAAAGGCAGGAAAUUGGGCUGAAGUUUUGACUUUUUGUGAGCAAGCUUUGCAGAUGGAGCCCACUUCAGCUCAGAGGCACUCGGAUGUUCUUAACUGUCUACUGAAUAUGUGCCACCUUCAGGCUGUAGUCACUCAUGUGGAUGGUUUAAUAUCUAGGAUUCCUAGAUAUAAGAAAACAUGGUGCAUGCAAGGUGUGCAGGCAGCAUGGAGGCUUGGGAAGUGGGAUUUGAUGGAUGAGUACAUUAGCGGGGCUGAUGAAGAAGGUAUAGUAUGCAGUGGCUCUGAGAGUAACGCUUCCUUUGAUAUGGAUGUUGCAAAGAUUCUCCAGGUUAUGAUGAAAAGGGAUCAGUUCUUAGUUGCUGAGAAGAUUGCAAUGUCAAAGCAAGCUCUGAUUGCUCCUCUUGCUGCUGCGGGCAUGGAUUCUUACAUGCGGGCUUACCCAUUUAUUGUGAAACUUCACUUGCUAAGGGAGUUGGAAGACUUCCAUAAUUUUCUUGGUGAUGACUCUUUCUUGGAGAAAACAUUUCAUCUGGGUAAUAUGGAAUUUGCAAAAUUGUUGGAUAACUGGGAAAAUCGGCUCAGAUUUACGCAGCCAUCUCUUUGGGCAAGAGAGCCACUUUUAGCCUUCCGGAGAUUGGUAUUUGGUGCUAGUGGUCUCGGUGCUCAAGUUGGGAACUGCUGGCUUCAGUAUGCAAAGCUCUGUCGCUUGGCUGGUCAUUAUGAGACAGCAAAUCGAGCUAUUCUUGAAGCCCAGGCUUCAGGUGCACCUAAUGUUCACGUGGAGAAGGCCAAACUUUUGUGGAGUACUAGGAGAUCUGAUGGUGCUAUUGCAGAGUUGCAACAAGCUCUCUUGCACAUGCCUGAGAAGGUUUUAGGCUCUGCCGCAAGGUCAUCAAUUACUAGUCUUUCAUUGGUUCCACUGAAUCCCCAAGCUGCACUUUGUGACACUCAAGCCACAAAUGAGAAUCAAGAUAUUGCAAAGACUCUCCUCCUAUAUACCAGAUGGAUUCAUUACACGGGACAAAAGCAGAAAGAAGAUGUCAUAACACUUUAUUCAAGGGUGAGGGAACUGCAGCCAAAGUGGGAUAAGGGAUUCUUCUAUUUAGCCAAGUAUUGUGAUGAGGUACUGGUUGAUGCCAGGAAACGUCAAGAAGACAAUUCUGAACUAGGUCCCAGACUAGUGCCAUUGGCUUCUGCUGUUGUUUCUUCUGCCAAUAGUGAGAAGCGUUGGUGGCAUUAUGUACCUGAUGUGCUAUUAUUCUAUGCUAAGGGGCUUCAUAAGGGUCACAAGAAUCUCUUUCAAGCCCUUCCAAGGUUGCUAACCUUGUGGUUUGACUUUGGGAGCAUUUAUCAGAGAUGCAGCUCAUCUUCAGGUGAAGAUUUGAAAAAGGUUCAUGAGAAGGUAAUGAGCAUUAUGCGAGGCUGUUUGAAGGAUCUGCCAACAUAUCAGUGGUUAACAGUGUUACCUCAAUUGGUCUCUAGAGUGUGCCACCAGAAUGAAGAAAUUGUUAAAUUGGUCAAACGCAUUAUCACCUGUGUCCUCCGGCAAUACCCACAACAAGCUUUGUGGAUUAUGGCAGCUGUUUCUAAAUCAACAGUCCCUUCAAGACGAGAGGCAGCUGCAGCAAUCAUACAAGAAGCUAAAAAAGGGUUCAGCCAAGGAAACAGUGGGAGCAAUUUGUUUGUUCAGUUUGCUAGCCUGAUUGAUCAUCUGAUAAAAUUGUGCUUCCACCCAGGACAGCCAAAAGCAAAGACAAUUAAUAUAUCAACUGAAUUCAGCUCCUUGAAACGGAUGAUGCCACUGGGAAUUAUUAUGCCAAUUCAACAAUCUCUUACCGCUAGUUUGCCGACCUAUAAUAUCAGUCUAACUGACUCUCUCACCUCUGAUAUCUUUUCUGCCUCAGAUCUUCCAACAAUUUCAGGAAUUUCUGAUGAGGCUGAGAUUCUUUCUUCUCUUCAACGACCCAAGAAAAUUGUUCUGUUGGGUAGUGAUGGUAUUGAACGUCCAUUUCUCUGCAAACCCAAGGAUGACCUUAGGAAAGAUGCUCGUAUGAUGGAGUUCAAUGCAAUGAUCAACAGGUUGUUAUCAAAGUAUCCUGAAAGCCGCCGAAGGAAACUCUAUGUCCGUACUUUUGCAGUGAUUCCUCUAACAGAAGAUUGUGGUAUGGUUGAAUGGGUGCCUCACACUCGCGGCCUGCGCCAUAUUCUUCAAGACCUUUACAUAAUCUGUGGAAAAUUUGAUAGGCAGAAGACUAAUCCUCAAAUUAAACGGAUUUAUGAUCAAUGCCAAGGUAAAAUGCCAGAAGAUGAGAUGCUGAAAAACAAGAUCCUUCCGAUGUUCCCUCCCGUUUUCCACAAAUGGUUCUUGACCACUUUUUCGGAGCCAGCUGCUUGGUUUAGGGCGAGGGUUGCUUAUGCGCACACUACUGCAGUUUGGUCAAUGGUUGGGCACAUUGUGGGGCUAGGAGACCGCCAUGGUGAAAACAUUCUCUUUGACUCUACUACUGGUGAUUGUGUUCAUGUAGAUUUCAGUUGCCUAUUUGACAAAGGCUUGCAGUUGGAGAAGCCUGAACUGGUGCCUUUUAGGCUAACCCAGAACAUGAUUGAUGGUAUGGGCAUCACUGGAUAUGAAGGCAUCUUCUUACGGGUGUGCGAAAUCACACUUUCAGUACUGAGGGCUCACAGAGAGACUUUGAUGAGUGUUCUUGAAACUUUUAUUCAUGAUCCGCUUGUGGAGUGGACAAAAUCUCAUAAAUCCAGUGGGGUGGAAGUUCAAAACCCACAUGCACAGCGAGCCAUUAAUAAUAUUGAAGCAAGGUUGCAAGGAGUAGUUGUUGGUGUUGGAGCAGCACCCUCUUUACCUCUAGCUGUGGAAGGUCAAGCUCGCCGCUUAAUUGCUGAAGCUGUGUCACACAAGAAUCUUGGAAAGAUGUAUAUAUGGUGGAUGCCGUGGUUUUAGAAGUUCUUACAGGAACAAUUUAGGUCAGGUAAGGUGUGUCAUUUUCUUUGACUCGCCUAGUUUUGAAGGGAUCUGUAUCUGCCUUGCCAUUUUUGUUAUAUAUAUGAUCACGAAACUUUGCCCUUAUGACCACUUCAAAUUGAGUAAAAAUCAGUGAAUUCGUUAUAUGGUUACAAAAAAUCAAUCAGAUCACAUUGGACCAAUAUGUUAGAAUGUUAAUUGAAAUGCUAACAAGACAGUUAAAUUUCUUUUUCUCUGACGUUUUUAGUUCCAUUUGACACAAACUUAGACACUUUAAACUUUGAAAUGUAUUUUCUCUCUAAUCUACAUUUCCUCUUCCCUUUUCUUAAGUUUUGAGUUCUCUGUCUCUGCCUCAUAACUCAAUUGUCAAAUGGUCUCCGCCACUUGCUGGUUUGUUUAAACUGAACAUGGAUGCUUCUUUUGUUGGAUGCUCUUUCGGUGCUGCAUAUGAUUUUUUGUUGAGAAAUGCUUUGGGUAUCCACUUGAUGGUGGGGCUGUUGUUUUUUCGUGCUCAGUACCUCGUGGCGGAAGGUCUGGGUCUAAGGGCAGUGAUUAAAUUUGCGAUUGAUAGAAGUCUUGACCAGUGUUCUAUAGAGACUGAUGCUCUGCAUAACCCUUGCAUUCUUCCGCUCCUUACCUCGUUCCUUGGGAAGUGGAAGCAAUCAUUCAUGAAAUCAAAUUGCUAUUAAUUGCUCAUCCUCUUAUUUCUGUUGUAUGUGUCCCCAGAACUGCAAAUUCUUGCACGGACUGGGUGGCUUCUAAUAUUCGAAAAGGUUGGAUGUUACCUGGCUGGAUUUCAAAUCCUCCAAGUAGUUCAAGUGCUCUCUUACAAAAGGAUAUGUUGUAAUUUGCCUUUCAUGAAUGAAUUCAUUUCUGA
Molecule: unclassified non-coding RNA, 9200 nt
Filed under: Hevea brasiliensis (rubber tree)
Lineage: Eukaryota; Viridiplantae; Streptophyta; Magnoliopsida; Malpighiales; Euphorbiaceae
Source: RNAcentral